AGGAAUAUUGGACAAUGGGUUAGCGCCUGAUCCAGCCAUCCCGCGUGAAGGAUUAAGGACCUAUGGUUUGUAAACUUCUUUUUUACAGGGAUAAACCUACUCUCGUGAGGGUAGCUGAAGGUACUGUAAGAAUAAGCACCGGCUAACUCCGUGCCAGCAGCCGCGGUAAUACGGAGGGUGCAAGCGUUAUCCGGAUUUAUUGGGUUUAAAGGGUCCGUAGGCGGAUUGGUAAGUCAGUGGUGAAAUCCCGCAGCUCAACUGUGGAACUGCCAUUGAUACUGCUAGUCUUGAGUGUAUUUGAAGUAGCUGGAAUAAGUAGUGUAGCGGUGAAAUGCAUAGAUAUUACUUAGAACACCAAUUGCGAAGGCAGGUUACUAAGAUACAACUGACGCUGAUGGACGAAAGCGUGGGGAGC
This 415-nucleotide ribosomal RNA is filed under the name uncultured bacterium. RNAcentral's name for it is "bacterial SSU rRNA". It matches the Rfam family "Bacterial small subunit ribosomal RNA", at positions 357 to 769 of the family's 1533-position model. The record is from RNAcentral.